RNAcentral lists this small RNA (109 nucleotides) under Aurantimonas sp. 22II-16-19i. Its description in RNAcentral is "Guanidine-I riboswitch aptamer". It matches the Rfam family "Guanidine-I riboswitch aptamer". Rfam says of the family: This family represents a conserved RNA structure found upstream of the ykkC and yxkD genes in Bacillus subtilis and related genes in other bacteria. The function of this family is unclear although it has been suggested that it may function to switch on efflux pumps and detoxification systems in response to harmful environmental molecules. Nelson showed that this riboswitch senses and responds to guanidine and it was renamed Guanidine-I riboswitch. RNAcentral also lists the same sequence under 1 other name. The record is from Rfam by way of RNAcentral. Lineage: Bacteria; Pseudomonadati; Pseudomonadota; Alphaproteobacteria; Hyphomicrobiales; Aurantimonadaceae.
GUGCGGUGCGUCUAGGGUUCCGGCAUUCCUUCCUCGGAAUGUGGCUGGUCCGAGAGACGCACUCCCUGUGAGUUGCAGGGAGACACGGCGGGCCAAAAUCCCGGGAGAA